This 253-nucleotide ribosomal RNA is filed under the name uncultured prokaryote. RNAcentral describes it as "partial 16S ribosomal RNA". It matches the Rfam family "Bacterial small subunit ribosomal RNA", at positions 524 to 776 of the family's 1533-position model. The record is from RNAcentral.
UACGGAGGGUGCGAGCGUUAAUCGGAAUUACUGGGCGUAAAGGGUGCGUAGGUGGUUUAGUAAGUUAUCUGUGAAAUCUCUGGGCUUAACCUAGAAAGGUCAGAUAAAACUGCUAAACUCGAGUAUGGGAGAGGGCAGUGGAAUUUCCGGUGUAGCGGUGAAAUGCGUAGAGAUCGGAAGGAACACCAGUGGCGAAGGCGGCUGCCUGGCCUAAUACUGACACUGAGGCACGAAAGCGUGGGGAGCAAACAGG